RNAcentral lists this ribosomal RNA (389 nucleotides) under uncultured bacterium. RNAcentral describes it as "bacterial SSU rRNA". It matches the Rfam family "Bacterial small subunit ribosomal RNA", at positions 28 to 420 of the family's 1533-position model. The record is from RNAcentral.
GACGAACGCUGGCGGCGUGCUUAACACAUGCAAGUCGAGCGGUAAGGCCCUUUCGGGGGUACACGAGCGGCGAACGGGUGAGUAACACGUGGGUGACCUGCCCUUAGCUCUGGGAUAAGCCUGGGAAACUGGGUCUAAUACCGGAUAUGACUCCAUGACGCAUGUUGUGGGGUGGAAAGCCUCGUGCGGCUAGGGAUGGGCCCGCGGCCUAUCAGCUUGUUGGUGGGGUNAUGGCCACCAAGGCGACGACGGGUAGCCGGCCUGAGAGGGCGACCGGCCACACUGGGACUGAGACACGGCCCAGACUCCUACGGGAGGCAGCAGUGGGGAAUCUUGCGCAAUGGGCGAAAGCCUGACGCAGCGACGCCGCGUGGGGAUGACGGCCUCGG